GCGAGGAGANUCGGUCGGUUGUCGCUGGCCUUUUGCUAGGCAUGUGCACGCUUUCCGAGGAGACCUCGCCUUAUGGGCGCGGGCCCAGCGCCCGCGUCUUCAUAUACCUCUUCGUGUAGAAAGUCUUUGAAUGUUUAUACUAUCGUCGAGUCGCGACUUCUAGGAGACGCGGUUCGACGAGACAAAAGUUAUUACAACUUUCAGCAAUGGAUCUCUUGGCUCUCGCAUCGAUGAAGAACGCAGCGAAUCGCGAUAUGUAAUGUGAAUUGCAGAUCUACAGUGAAUCAUCGAAUCUUUGAACGCACCUUGCGCUCCUCGGUGUUCCGAGGAGCAUGCCUGUUUGAGCGUCAGUAAAUUCUCAACCCCUCUCGAUUCGCUUCGAUAGGGCGUUUGGAUAGUGGGGGCUGCCGGAGACCUCGACUUUUCGUCUAGGACUCGGGCUCUCCUGAAAUGAAUAGGCUUGCGGUCGGCUUUCGACUAUGCAUGACAAGGCUUUCGGCGUGAUAAUGAUCGUCGUAUGCUGAAGUGCAUGAAUGAACGUCCCGUGCCUCUAAUGCGUCGAUGCCUUCGGGCGUCUUCUUUAUUGACUUUUGACCUCAAAUCAGGUAGGACUACCCGCUGAACUUAAGCAU
Molecule: ribosomal RNA, 632 nt
Filed under: Suillus tridentinus
Lineage: Eukaryota; Fungi; Basidiomycota; Agaricomycetes; Boletales; Suillaceae
Description: eukaryotic LSU rRNA
Rfam family: 5.8S ribosomal RNA (bases 196-350)
Source: RNAcentral